GCUUUCAUCUUCCCUGCCAAUCUGGCUGCAGUUUGGAUGAACGCCUUAUCUUCCUUCACAGGUUUCUAGGGGAGAGUUUAGCCAGGUAUCAGGUGUGAGCAUGGCUCUGAUUUUAUAUAAACCUGACGACCAGGGAAGAGAAGCAUGAUCUGUUCUCGUGCCUCGGGCUGGUUAAGAUUUCUCCUUGUUUAAAACACGGAGAACUGAUUUCUCAAAGACUCUUCUGUUCCCCUUCUACUCUGGCUUUGGUUCAGAGCUGUAGGUAGC
This 267-nucleotide long non-coding RNA is filed under the name Bos taurus (domestic cattle). RNAcentral's name for it is "long non-coding RNA NONBTAT002817". The record is from RNAcentral. Lineage: Eukaryota; Metazoa; Chordata; Mammalia; Artiodactyla; Bovidae.